CCUUGUGGUCUGGGGUGCUUUAAUCGGCUGAGAAAUACCCAUGGAACCUGAUGCAGUCAGUACUGCCGCAGGAAGACCGUUUUUAGCUCAA
This 91-nucleotide non-coding RNA is filed under the name Lentilactobacillus farraginis. RNAcentral describes it as "Lactobacillus farraginis TPP sequence". It matches the Rfam family "TPP riboswitch aptamer (THI element)". Rfam says of the family: Vitamin B(1) in its active form thiamin pyrophosphate (TPP) is an essential coenzyme that is synthesised by coupling of pyrimidine and thiazole moieties in bacteria. The previously detected thiamin-regulatory element, thi box was extended, resulting in a new, highly conserved RNA secondary structure, the THI element, which is widely distributed in eubacteria and also occurs in some archaea. Analysis of operon structures identified a large number of new candidate thiamin-regulated genes, mostly transporters, in various prokaryotic organisms. The record is from RNAcentral. Lineage: Bacteria; Bacillati; Bacillota; Bacilli; Lactobacillales; Lactobacillaceae.